This is a non-coding RNA of Acanthosepion pharaonis, 113 nucleotides long. The record is from the annotation of a GenBank genome assembly. NCBI's taxonomy places the organism in Eukaryota, Metazoa, Mollusca, Cephalopoda, Sepiida, Sepiidae.
UUACGGCCUCACCAAAGGUGAAACACCGGUUCCCGUACUAUCACCGAAGUUAAGCAACAUCAAGCCUGUCAGUAGCUAGAUGAGUGACCGCUUGGAAAUACAAGGUGCUGUAA